GCAUGUCCCUCUCGGCUGGGAAGGGAAGGGAGGCUCUCGGGGGUUUAAAGAGAAGGAAAACAGAGGGGUCUGUCAUCCCUCAUACGAAAAAAAACAGAGAGGCCCUCUGCCAUUCAAAAGGAAAGUAAGGGAGAAAGGGAAACAGGGGAUGCCCUGUUUCCGAAAAUAAAAAGAAAAAAAAAGAAAUAAGAGGAAGAGGGGAGUUCUUUUAUGUUUAUGGCUGGCUAAUCCCUUAGGUGAAGG
RNAcentral lists this long non-coding RNA (243 nucleotides) under Phoenix dactylifera (date palm). Its description in RNAcentral is "long non-coding RNA (PDAC_LNC018506)". Lineage: Eukaryota; Viridiplantae; Streptophyta; Magnoliopsida; Arecales; Arecaceae. The record is from RNAcentral.